GUCCUCUGCAAUAGCCCAUAUACUAAAAUUAGAACCAUACACAGAUUAGCAUUGCCUCUGAACAAAGAUAACACACACACUCAUGAAGCAUUCCAUAUUUUU
Pipistrellus kuhlii (Kuhl's pipistrelle) is the source of this 102-nucleotide small nuclear RNA. The record is from RefSeq and is a predicted model, not a curated record. Lineage: Eukaryota; Metazoa; Chordata; Mammalia; Chiroptera; Vespertilionidae.